This 460-nucleotide ribosomal RNA is filed under the name uncultured bacterium. Its description in RNAcentral is "partial 16S ribosomal RNA". It matches the Rfam family "Bacterial small subunit ribosomal RNA", at positions 338 to 795 of the family's 1533-position model. The record is from RNAcentral.
CCUACGGGAGGCAGCAGUGAGGAAUAUUGGUCAAUGGACGAGAGUCUGAACCAGCCAAGUAGCGUGAAGGAUGACUGCCCUAUGGGUUGUAAACUUCGUUUGUAGAGGAAUAAAACGAGGCACGUGUGCCUUUUUGCAUGGACUUUAUGAGUAAAGAUCGGCUAACUCCGUGCCAGCAGCCGCGGUAAUACGGAGGAUCCGAGCGUUAUCCGGAUUUAUUGGGUUUAAAGGGAGCGUAGAUGGGUUGUUAAGUCAGUUGUGAAAGUCUGCGGCUCAACCGUAAAAUUGCAAUUGAUACUGGCAGUCUGGAGUACAGUUGAGGUAGGCGGAAUUCGUGGUGUAGCGGUGAAAUGCUUAGAUAUCACGAAGAACCCCGAUGGCGAAGGCAGCUUACUAAACUGUGACUGACAUUGAUGCUCGAAAGUGUGGGUAGCAAACAGGAUUAGAUACCCGAGUAGUC